Molecule: ribosomal RNA, 642 nt
Filed under: uncultured Burkholderiales bacterium
Lineage: Bacteria; Pseudomonadati; Pseudomonadota; Betaproteobacteria; Burkholderiales
Description: bacterial SSU rRNA
Rfam family: Bacterial small subunit ribosomal RNA
Source: RNAcentral
AUUGAACGCUGGCGGCAUGCCUUACACAUGCAAGUCGAACGGCAGCACGGGGGCAACCCUGGUGGCGAGUGGCGAACGGGUGAGUAAUGCAUCGGAACGUGCCCAGUAGUGGGGGAUAACUAGUCGAAAGAUUAGCUAAUACCGCAUACGACCUAUGGGUGAAAGCGGGGGAUUCGCAAGAACCUCGCGCUAUCGGAGCGGCCGAUGUCUGAUUAGCUAGUUGGCGGGGUAAAAGCCCACCAAGGCGACGAUCAGUAGCUGGUCUGAGAGGACGACCAGCCACACUGGGACUGAGACACGGCCCAGACUCCUACGGGAGGCAGCAGUGGGGAAUUUUGGACAAUGGGCGCAAGCCUGAUCCAGCCAUGCCGCGUGCGGGAAGAAGGCCUUCGGGUUGUAAACCGCUUUUGGCAGGAACGAAACGGCGCGAGCGAAUAUCUCGCGCUAAUGACGGUACCUGCAGAAUAAGCACCGGCUAACUACGUGCCAGCAGCCGCGGUAAUACGUAGGGUGCAAGCGUUAAUCGGAAUUACUGGGCGUAAAGCGUACGCAGGCGGCUUUGCAAGACAGGUGUGAAAUCCCCGGGCCUAACCUGGGAACUGCAUUUGUGACUGCAUGGCUAGAGUUUGUCAGAGGGGGGUG